GGGCCCGCACAAGCGGCGGAGCAUGCGGAUUAAUUCGAUGCAACGCGAAGAACCUUACCAAGGCUUGACAUACACCGGAAAAGUGCAGAGAUGUGCUCCCCGCAAGGUCGGUGUACAGGUGGUGCAUGGUUGUCGUCAGCUCGUGUCGUGAGAUGUUGGGUUAAGUCCCGCAACGAGCGCAACCCUCGCCCUAUGUUGCCAGCGGGUUAUGCCGGGGACUCAUGGGAGACUGCCGGGGUCAACUCGGAGGAAGGUGGGGAUGACGUCAAAUCAUCAUGCCCCUUAUGUCUUGGGCUUCACGCAUGCUACAAUGGCCGGUACAAAGGGCUGCGAUACCGCGAGGUGGAGCGAAUCCCAAAAAGCCGGUCUCAGUUCGGAUUGGGGUCUGCAACUCGACCCCAUGAAGUCGGAGUCGCUAGUAAUCGCAGA
RNAcentral lists this ribosomal RNA (429 nucleotides) under uncultured Actinomycetes bacterium. RNAcentral describes it as "bacterial SSU rRNA". It matches the Rfam family "Bacterial small subunit ribosomal RNA", at positions 917 to 1348 of the family's 1533-position model. Lineage: Bacteria; Bacillati; Actinomycetota; Actinomycetes. The record is from RNAcentral.